This 287-nucleotide ribosomal RNA is filed under the name Paenibacillus sp. CF384. Its description in RNAcentral is "16S rRNA. Bacterial SSU". It matches the Rfam family "Bacterial small subunit ribosomal RNA", at positions 1 to 272 of the family's 1533-position model. Lineage: Bacteria; Bacillati; Bacillota; Bacilli; Caryophanales; Paenibacillaceae. The record is from RNAcentral.
CUUUUAUGGAGAGUUUGAUCCUGGCUCAGGACGAACGCUGGCGGCGUGCCUAAUACAUGCAAGUCGAGCGGAGUCGGAUGGAAGCUUGCUUCCAUCCUGCUUAGCGGCGGACGGGUGAGUAACACGUAGGCAACCUGCCUGUAAGACCGGGAUAACAUUCGGAAACGAAUGCUAAUACCGGAUAUGCAAUUCAGCUGCAUGGCUGAAUUGGGAAAGACGGUGCAAGCUGUCACUUACAGAUGGGCCUGCGGUGCAUUAGCUAGUUGGUGGGGUAACGGCUCACCAAG